UACAGAGGUCUCAAGCGUUGUUCGGAUUCAUUGGGCGUAAAGGGUGCGUAGGCGGUGGGGUAAGUCAGGUGUAAAAUCUCGGGGCUCAACUCCGAAACCGCACUUGAUACUGCCCUGCUAGAGUACUGGAGAGGAGAUUGGAAUUUACGGUGUAGCAGUGAAAUGCGUAGAUAUCGUAAGGAAGACCAGUGGCGAAGGCGAAUCUCUGGACAGUUACUGACGCUGAGGCACGAAGGCCAGGGGAGCAAACGGG
Molecule: ribosomal RNA, 253 nt
Filed under: uncultured bacterium
Lineage: Bacteria
Description: partial 16S ribosomal RNA
Rfam family: Bacterial small subunit ribosomal RNA
Source: RNAcentral